GCAGAACGCGAAGAACCUUACCAAGGCUUGACAUAUACGAGAACGCUCUAGAAAUAGAGAACUCUUUGGACACUCGUAUACAGGUGGUGCAUGGUUGUCGUCAGCUCGUGUCGUGAGAUGUUGGGUUAAGUCCCGCAACGAGCGCAACCCUCGUUCUAUGUUGCCAGCGGUUCGGCCGGGAACUCAUAGGAGACUGCCGGGGUCAACUCGGAGGAAGGUGGGGAUGACGUCAAAUCAUCAUGCCCCUUAUGUCUUGGGCUUCACGCAUGCUACAAUGGCCGGUACAAAGGGCUGCAAUACCGUAAGGUGGAGCGAAUCCCAAAAAGCCGGUCUCAGUUCGGAUUGAGGUCUGCAACUCGACCUCAUGAAGUCGGAGUCGCUAGUAAUCGCAGAUCAGCAUUGCUGCGGUGAAUACGUUCCCGGGUCUUGUACACACCG
RNAcentral lists this ribosomal RNA (438 nucleotides) under uncultured bacterium. RNAcentral describes it as "bacterial SSU rRNA". It matches the Rfam family "Bacterial small subunit ribosomal RNA", at positions 954 to 1392 of the family's 1533-position model. The record is from RNAcentral.